AGAGUUUGAUCCUGGCUCAUAAUGAACGCUGGCGGCGUGCUUAACACAUGCAAGUCGAACGAGAAAUCCUCUGCUUGCAGAGGAGAGUAAAGUGGCGCAGGGGUGAGUAACGCGUGGGUAAUUUACCCUUGGAUUUGGGAUAACAUUUCGAAAGGGGUGCUAAUACCAGAUAAUAUCCUGAUGAUUUUGGUUAUUAGGAUCAAAGAUAGCCUCUACAUGUAAGCUAUUGUGCAAGGAUGAGCCCGCGUACCAUUAGCUAGUUGGCAGGGUAAAGGCCUACCAAGGCGAUGAUGGUUAGCUGGUCUGAGAGGAUGAUCAGCCACACUGGAACUGAAACACGGUCCAGACUCCUACGGGAGGCAGCAGUGAGGAAUUUUGCGCAAUGGGGGAAACCCUGACGCAGCAACGCCGCGUGAGUGAAGAAGGCUUUCGGGUCGUAAAGCUCUGUCAAGAGGGAAGAAGGUAGAUGGUG
RNAcentral lists this ribosomal RNA (472 nucleotides) under uncultured bacterium. RNAcentral's name for it is "bacterial SSU rRNA". It matches the Rfam family "Bacterial small subunit ribosomal RNA", at positions 8 to 460 of the family's 1533-position model. The record is from RNAcentral.